This 381-nucleotide ribosomal RNA is filed under the name uncultured eukaryote. RNAcentral describes it as "partial 18S ribosomal RNA". It matches the Rfam family "Eukaryotic small subunit ribosomal RNA", at positions 592 to 976 of the family's 1831-position model. The record is from RNAcentral.
UGUAGGCGUAUACCAAAGUUGUUGCAGUUAAAACGCUCGUAGUCGGAAUUUGGCAGUUCCGGAUGUGUGCACGUCGUGUGCGCGCUUUGCGGGAAUUGCUUUUGUGUGUUCGCGUCGGAUGAGGCACGUUUAUUCGUGAACGUCCGCACGCUGCCACUUUUUACUGUGAGAAAAUCAGAGUGCUCAAAGCAGGCAUUUGCCGUGGAUGUAUUAGCAUGGAAUAAUAGAAUAGGACUCGGUUCUAUUUUGUUGGUUUGUUGGGACUGAGUAAUGAUUAAGAGGGACAGUUGGGGCAUUUGUAUUUCGGCGCUAGAGGUGAAAUUCUUAGAUUGCCGAAAGACAAACUGCUGCAAAAGCGUCUGCCAAGGAUGUUUUCAUUGA